This is a long non-coding RNA of Sphaeramia orbicularis (orbiculate cardinalfish), 155 nucleotides long. RefSeq lists it as uncharacterized. The record is from RefSeq and is a predicted model, not a curated record. The transcript has 2 exons. Lineage: Eukaryota; Metazoa; Chordata; Actinopteri; Kurtiformes; Apogonidae.
UCAGAUACGUAUCAGAUUUAGGACCACAUAUGGAAUGGGUCUGGGUCAGAUGAGUGCUGUUCAGACUGUCUGUAACAGAUCAGAUCCAGGUCACAAAUGGACACAAAAAUCAGAUAUGGGCCCCAUUUGGUUGCAGUGUGAACGGAGCCUAUGAG